UGAAGUUGGAAUCACUAGUAAUCGCGAAUAAGUCAUGUCGUGGUGAAUGCGUUCUCGGGUCUUGUACACACCGCCCGUCAAACUAUGAGAGCCGUUAAUACCUAAAACCGUUUUGCUAACCGCAAGGAGGCGAACGUCUAGGGUAGGAAUGGUGAUUGGAGUUAAGUCGUGACAAGGUCAUCUCCUCAUUU
This 191-nucleotide ribosomal RNA is filed under the name Mycoplasmataceae bacterium. Its description in RNAcentral is "partial 16S ribosomal RNA". It matches the Rfam family "Bacterial small subunit ribosomal RNA", at positions 1321 to 1533 of the family's 1533-position model. The record is from RNAcentral. Lineage: Bacteria; Bacillati; Mycoplasmatota; Mollicutes; Mycoplasmatales; Mycoplasmataceae.